GCUCCGUUAGUAUAGUGGUUAGUACGGGACGUUGUGGUCAAAGUCGCAUUUGACAAAUCCGUCCAGACGAGGGUUCGAUUCCCCCACAGGGCA
This is a non-coding RNA of Microbotryomycetes sp. JL221, 93 nucleotides long. Lineage: Eukaryota; Fungi; Basidiomycota; Microbotryomycetes. The record is from the annotation of a GenBank genome assembly.